RNA transcript from Mangifera indica (mango), 2507 nucleotides. It is a transcript of the gene named protein EXPORTIN 1A-like, with no coding region annotated. NCBI's taxonomy places the organism in Eukaryota, Viridiplantae, Streptophyta, Magnoliopsida, Sapindales, Anacardiaceae. The record is from RefSeq and is a predicted model, not a curated record. The transcript has 8 exons.
CUUAGGUUCUCGCAAAAGCACAAAAUGCAGUUAGGACUCACUAAGUUGCUUGGCUUUGCUUUUUGAAAAUUGGCAAACCAUAGUUUCAUAUUUGAGUUUUGGAAUCCACUCAAGAGAAUAUCAAUGCAUUGCUUAUGGGUCCUGAAUAUCUAAUUAAUAUCUCAUUUGUGGAUGACACAGAGGUACUUAAGGUAUUUUGGAUAAGCUGGUUUGCUUGGACUAUUGGAACAUAUUUAUUUUUGAGUUGUUUGGUGCACAUCAUAAUCUGGAUAGCCCUGCAGUACCUGCAAACAUGAUGGGUCUGCCGAUUCCUUUAAUCCCAGCUGUGGUUGAUGGUAUUGGAACACAACUAAUGCAGCGAAGGCAGCUUUAUGCUGUUCCAAUGUCCAAGUUGAGAAUGCUGAUGAUCUGUUGUAUGGCUAAUCCUGAAGAAGGCUUGACAGUUGAAGAUGAAAAUGGGAACAUUGUCCGUGAAACCAUAAAGGGCAAUGAUAGUCUUGUUCAAUAUAAGUCUUGCAGACUAUGAGGGAGAGGUUAAUAUACUUGUCGCACCUUGACCAUCCAUGAGGAUGGUGAAAAGCAAAAAAAAAGGGCAAAAGGAGAAGGAAAAUUCAGUGGCAAAUGACAGGACAGGUGGCAAAUCCUCAGGGAGCAGGACCACAAACAUAAGGAAGUGCACACGUUUUAUUUGGAGAGGAAUUUGAUACAGACCUGGAGUUAUCAAGCAGCAAGACCAUUAUAUCCAAGUUCAACGCCAGAAUACACCCAGCUGCAGUCACCAAUCCUUCCUCAAGCAACAAUCAGAUAUAACAGUGCAGAAAAUAGAACAGAUAAAUAUUGAGAUUGUAUCACAGAAGUUUGCGAUGUAAUUAAUGGAAAUAGACAGAUUUUUGUAUUGGGCAAUUUUUCUGAAUAUAAUACAAAUAAAGUUUACUGAAACUCUACUAGCUUUCCUUUUUACAUGAACAUCAAGAGCAAACUGAAAACAAGAAAUUGACACUCAAGGUCUAAUCCAUCUUCCUCCAGCUUUCAAGAGGCUGCUUCUCUCCCACUUUGUCUUUUCCUUUCAAAUUCUUCUCUGCCUUUGCUUUCUCCACCUCCAGGCCUAUAUCACUCUCAUUCCCUGCAUAACUGCCUUGUCAAUCCAGCCUUGCCACACCAUCAAUCGUGCAUAUACUAAUGGUCCCCUGCUUCUGUUGUGAUAUUGCUGCUGCUUCUUCAUUGUGUGCUUGUUAAUCUGCUACCUUUUCCUCAGCCUGCUGCUUGCCAUCUGUUUCUUGUAAUCUGGCACUUUUGCUCCUUUCCUCUUUUUCUUCCUUAUGUACUAACAGAGUUAAAGGCUGGAGGGAAAUAAGGAGCCGAAAAGGCAAGGAGAGGGGUAGCUGGAAAGUUGACAGAAGUUGAGAGAAUCGAAGGAGAGUGCUGGCCUCUCGAAUGCCAAGCAAACCCCAUGAUUUUGUUGUUGGUUCUUUGUGUUUGGAACAUUACACCAGCUGGAUUUUGGUUGUCUGGAACCUUUUGUAAUUUUGUUUCAAUGUAUUAAGAUUGCUUUAUUCAGAUAUCAAUAAAAACGUUGUUCCAGAAUUUAUAUUGCACUGUUAUGUUGUUGUUGUUGUUGAAUUGUGUGGGUUUUGUGUGGAAAAGGGGAGUUUGAGUUGCAGGAAGCAGCCUAGAAAGUGAAGAGAGCAUGAGGCAGUGGUGUUGAAUAUCCAGGUACCUAUCAGAUUCAAGCUGAGCAUGAUACCCAGAAGAGGGACGAAUACUUGCCGAGGUUGAUGGCUCUUCCAACCUAGAAAUGGGCUGAAAUUCUAGCACAGGCACACCAAAGCGUUGAUUUUCUGAAAGAUCUAGAUGUCAUAAGGACUGUGCUAAAUAUUUUACAGACAAAUACAAGUGUUGCCAGUUCUCCUGGAACGUUCUUCUUGUCGCAAAUUUCUGGGAUCUUAUUGGACAUGCUAAAUGUCUACAAGUAAUUUCAUCUUCAUUACUGAUGAUAAAUGCAAGCGCUGUUUGUUUCUUGACUACUAACUAAUCUUGUUAUUUACAAUUUUUAUUACCAGAAUGAAUAGUGAGCUUAUAUCAAGUAGCAUUGCAGAAGGUGUGCCUUUUGCAUCUAAAACAUCAUAUGUGAAACGUCUGCUGUAAAACCAAUGAUUUGGAAUUAGUUUCUGAUUGGUUUAAGUUAAUUGUUUGUUGUUUUCUUAAUUUACUGUCAAUUGGGCAGCUCUGUUAAUCUGGAGACUCUGAAGCUCAUUGAGACAUUCUUGGACAAGGCUGAAGAUCAACCCCAGAUCGGACAACAGUUUGUGCCCCCAGUGAUGGAUCCUCUUCUUGGUGACUAUGCUAGGAACUUACCUGAUGCUAGAGAGUCAGAAGUUUUUUCCCUUUUUGCAAUGUCCCUUUUUUUUCCUUUAAGGUUGAAUUAGACUGAUGGAUUAUUUGUCACAUGAGGAGACAGUCUUGUAUUCUGACUAAUCUCUAUAGAAUAUUAAAAUUUUUUACUCACA